This 381-nucleotide ribosomal RNA is filed under the name uncultured eukaryote. RNAcentral describes it as "SSU rRNA". It matches the Rfam family "Eukaryotic small subunit ribosomal RNA", at positions 587 to 972 of the family's 1831-position model. The record is from RNAcentral.
AGCUCCAAUAGCGUAUAUUAAAGUUGUUGCAGUUAAAACGCUCGUAGUCGGAUUUCGGGGCGGGCCUGCCGGUUUGCCGAUGGGUAUAUACUGGUGGGUGCGUCCUUCCUUCCGGAGACCGCGCCUCCUCUUAACUGAGCGGGCGUGGGAGACGGAUCGUUUACUUUGAAAAAAUCAGAGUGUUUCAAGCAGGCAUUUCGCUUUUGCAUGGAUUAGCAUGGGAUAAUGAAAUAGGACUUUGGUGCUAUUUUGUUGGUUUCGAGCACCGAAGUAAUGAUUAACAGGGACAGUCAGGGGCACUCGUAUUCCGCAGAGAGAGGUGAAAUUCUCAGACCCGCGGAAGACGAACCACUGCGAAAGCAUUUGCCAGGGAUGUUUUCA